Molecule: long non-coding RNA, 867 nt
Organism: Bombus terrestris (buff-tailed bumblebee)
Lineage: Eukaryota; Metazoa; Arthropoda; Insecta; Hymenoptera; Apidae
Exons: 3
Source: RefSeq, a predicted model, not a curated record
UAUGUUCAGGGCAAGAGAUUAAUAGCAAUAUCGAACUUUCUUGAGUACGACAUAAUAAUUUAUUGACUUCCCAAAAUCAGUAAAAGAUUCGAUUGAUCGCGCGAUACUGUUGCCCCGCGAGUUCGUUAAAAUAUAUCUUAUGGUGAAAGUAAGUGUCGGUACACUACUAUGUUUCUAAUCAUCGAUGCAUCUUAUGUAGUUAUAUCCGUUAAAAUGAAAAUCCAGCGCUCCGCUACUUCAUUAUUUGCAUUCAUUAAAUCUCUUACGGUUACAGGCAAGAGAAAGGAAACAAGAAAGCGUAGAAAUAAUAUUGCAAUUCAGCCAUUCUGUUCUCGUGUUCUUUAUCUGCGAAAGACGUCUCAUCAAAAAUCAACCUAUUACUAAUCAAAUUACUAAUAUGAUACUUAUAGUAAUGUGACAUCAAUUGCACGUGCCAAAGGAAUUGCUUCGUUACGCUACACUAUGUUAUGACAUCACUGUUCUCUCAAAACCUUGUCCGACCGGUGAAGCUUGCGUAACUUCACCACAUUUACCUUGCCGAAUUUUUGUAUUGUCAAUCACUCGAACUUUGGCAUAUUCCACAAUAUUAAUUAAGAUUUGACAGACGCUAACAGACGUGGUUCUAGACGACUUAACAGGAUAAUUGCUUAUGAUCGAUGGAAAUCAUUCUAACCUCAACACAAGCGCUUUUCGAGACCGUUGGAACUUGGAACACACGAUUGUGAUGAAUACAAGCAUGUAUCUAUCCAUCCACGGGCCCCGCACUGUACAACUUCCUUUAUAACCUAAAUAAUAUAUCUUAAACAAAAUGAAAGACUAAUAAACAAAAAUAUCUCGAUCUUUCUGACAAAUAAAGCAAAUAAAAGA